Polyodon spathula (Mississippi paddlefish) is the source of this 557-nucleotide long non-coding RNA. RefSeq lists it as uncharacterized. The record is from RefSeq and is a predicted model, not a curated record. The transcript has 4 exons. NCBI's taxonomy places the organism in Eukaryota, Metazoa, Chordata, Actinopteri, Acipenseriformes, Polyodontidae.
UCUAAAGCAGGUAAACAAACUAGCAUUGCGCAGCAUUAUUAAAGGCAACACGUUAUGCAAGCAUCAGGAUAUGUAUUUUGGGAGAUUAUACUACUUGAAACUUACACCUUUGUUUACACCUCAGUUUUAGUUGACACUGCGUCUUUACUACUGUACUACGAAGAGACUUUAAACGGUUUUUGUUGUUUGUUUGUUUUUCUUGCUUGGUCAAGACCACGAAUAAUGCUCGCAUGGUUUAUACUACAUUCUUUAUUAAAGGCUGUUUUGAAAUAAUUACUGCAAGACUGGCCAGCAAUAAGUGGGUUAUUCCCACUGGAAAUUUGCACCCUGCCUUGUAUGCCAGGUGGUCCAAAUUCAGUAGUGGAUAAGGGGCAUCUUAGCAGGGCUCCCCGACACCAGACCAUCAUCCAAGAGACGCCUUCUCACUGUGCAAGCAGACACCUUCACUCCAUCUUCUUUCCAUUGCCGCAGCCUCGGCACCUUGGAUAAUCAACAAUCUGUUUCACCCUCUGGCCACCACCACCAAGACUGUCUGCUAUGGUAAAACCAAAGCCUUU